Molecule: unclassified non-coding RNA, 432 nt
Filed under: soil metagenome
Description: partial contains 5.8S ribosomal RNA, internal transcribed spacer 2, and large subunit ribosomal RNA
Rfam family: 5.8S ribosomal RNA (bases 1-120)
Source: RNAcentral
GAUGAAGAACGUAGCUAAAUGCGAUACGUAAUGUGAAUUGCAGAAUUCAGUGAAUCAUCGAAUCUUUGAACGCAUAUUGCGCUCUCUGGUAUUCCGGAGAGCAUGCUUGUUUGAGUAUCAGUAAACACCUCAACUUCCAUAUCUUUUUUGAAAUGGGAGUUGGACUUGAGUGAUCCCAACGCUUUUCCUCACCGAAAAGUGGCGGGUUACUUGAAAUGCAGGUGCAGCUGGACUUUUCUCUGAGCUAUAAGCAUAUCUAUUUAGUCUGCCUAAAAAACAGAUUAUUACCUUUGCUGCAGCUAACAUAAAGGAGAUUAGUUCUUGUGCUGACUGAUGCAGGAUUCACAAAAACGGCUUCGGCCGACUUUGUAAACUCGAUCUCAAAUCAAGUAAGACUACCCGCUGAACUUAAGCAUAUCAAUAAGCGGAGGA